RNAcentral lists this ribosomal RNA (460 nucleotides) under uncultured bacterium. RNAcentral's name for it is "partial 16S ribosomal RNA". It matches the Rfam family "Bacterial small subunit ribosomal RNA", at positions 338 to 795 of the family's 1533-position model. The record is from RNAcentral.
CCUACGGGAGGCAGCAGUGAGGAAUAUUGGUCAAUGGACGAGAGUCUGAACCAGCCAAGUAGCGUGAAGGAUGACUGCCCUAUGGGUUGUAAACUUCUUUUAUAAAGGAAUAAAACGAGGCACGUGUGCCUUUUUGCAUGUACUUUAUGAAUAAGGAUCGGCUAACUCCGUGCCAGCAGCCGCGGUAAUACGGAGGAUCCGAGCGUUAUCCGGAUUUAUUGGGUUUAAAGGGAGCGUAAAUGGGUUGUUAAGUCAGUUGUGAAAGUUUGCGGCUCAACCGUAACAGUGCAAUUGAUACUGGCAGUCUUGAGUGCAGGUGAGGUAGGCGGAAUUCGUGGUGUAGCGGUGAAAUGCUUAGAUAUCACGAAGAACCCCGAUUGCGAAGGCAGCUUACUAACCUGUGACUGACAUUGAUGCUCGAAAGUGUGGGUAUCGAACAGGAUUAGAUACCCUGGUAGUC